Molecule: ribosomal RNA, 585 nt
Filed under: uncultured bacterium
Lineage: Bacteria
Description: bacterial SSU rRNA
Rfam family: Bacterial small subunit ribosomal RNA
Source: RNAcentral
CCUACGGGAGGCAGCAGUGGGGAAUUUUGGACAAUGGGCGCAAGCCUGAUCCAGCCAUUCCGCGUGCAGGAUGAAGGCCCUCGGGUUGUAAACUGCUUUUGUACAGAACGAAAAGGUUUCUACUAAUACUAGGAGCUCAUGACGGUACUGUAAGAAUAAGCACCGGCUAACUACGUGCCAGCAGCCGCGGUAAUACGUAGGGUGCAAGCGUUAAUCGGAAUUACUGGGCGUAAAGCGUGCGCAGGCGGUUAUAUAAGUCAGAUGUGAAAUCCCCGGGCUCAACCUGGGAACUGCAUUUGAGACUGUAUAGCUAGAGUACGGCAGAGGGGGAUGGAAUUCCGCGUGUAGCAGUGAAAUGCGUAGAUAUGCGGAGGAACACCGAUGGCGAAGGCAAUCCCCUGGGCCUGUACUGACGCUCAUGCACGAAAGCGUGGGGAGCAAACAGGAUUAGAUACCCUGGUAGUCCACGCCCUAAACGAUGUCAACUGGUUGUUGGGUCUUAACUGACUCAGUAACGAAGCUAACGCGUGAAGUUGACCGCCUGGGGAGUACGGCCGCAAGGUUGAAACUCAAAUGAAUUGACGG